AUAAAUUACAUCGCGAGAAAAUUCAGAGGAGUUAAGCUAAAUACAAUAAAUAAUCUUUAAAUGUUUUUAAUUCACCUUUUAGCAAGAAGUGUGACACUAAUAGCUGCAAGCAGUGAAGAGUGACAAAAUUAGCAAGCAGUGCGACACUACUUGCUGCAAGCAGUGAAGAGUCAGAAAAUUAUGCCUUGAACAAUAGAUGGCGCUUAUGGCACAACACAAAACCUACUUGCUCUACACGACUGCAACCAAGCAGUACACUUUUCUGCUUCUUCUCGAAGAUAUUCAAUAGAUGGCGCUGAGCACCGUCGAAAACGAGUUUAUCUUGUUUACUUUUUCAUGAACAACUUGGCGCCUAUUCAAAAAACAAAACCGCCUGAAUUGUAACAUGAAAUUUACUUGUUAUAAUUCCACGCAAAGAAAAAUCGAGAUUAGUUUUCUUAUUAUUUCUCAUAAGCGGUUUCCACUUAAUUGCAGUGUAUUUAACACCAAUAAACGAAAAAUGCUGCGCUUCCAUAGAAGACAGAAGACAGGCAGCAGAACGUAGCUGCUACUCGAGUGCUACCUGAUGACGACGAAUUUUUACUGCUGAUUCUACGGGAUUAUCAAAUGAAAGUUGGUUUUCUGGUCACUUGGUUCGCCGAAACUUUUCGCUUAAUCGAAUUGACAACAACUUUUUCAAUCGAAAGUCAUCGUGUUGCAGUGCCGUGAGAAUUUGGAUAGCUCCAGAUAUGCGAUACGACGUUUUGCUUGGGCCACUCAUCAUCGGGUUCAAUGCGAUCAGUUCAAAUUUAAGGAAGUAACGCCAAGCAAACACCAGAGGAAGAAGCUCAAUAGAAAAGUUUUGAAUAUGCAAACAGAU
Long non-coding RNA from Drosophila sulfurigaster albostrigata, 859 nucleotides. RefSeq lists it as uncharacterized. The record is from RefSeq and is a predicted model, not a curated record. The transcript is spliced from 2 exons. NCBI's taxonomy places the organism in Eukaryota, Metazoa, Arthropoda, Insecta, Diptera, Drosophilidae.